UUUGAUCAUGGCUCAGAUUGAACGCUGGCGGCAGGCUUAACACAUGCAAGUCGAGCGCUAACAGGGGGUGCUUGCACCCCGCUGACGAGCGGCGGACGGGUGAGUAAUGCAUAGGAAACUGCCCAGUAGUGGGGGAUAGCCCGGGGAAACCCGGAUUAAUACCGCGUACGCCUUCGGGGGAAAGCAGGGGAUCUUCGGACCUUGCGCUAUUGGAUGUGCCUAUGUCGGAUUAGCUAGUUGGUGGGGUAAAGGCCUACCAAGGCGACGAUCCGUAGCUGGUCUGAGAGGAUGAUCAGCCACAUCGGGACUGAGACACGGCCCGAACUCUACGGGAGGCAGCAGUGGGGAAUAUUGGACAAUGGGGGCAACCCUGAUCCAGCCAUGCCGCGUGUGUGAAGAAGGCUUUCGGGUUGUAAAGCACUUUCAGUGAGGAGGAAAACUCUGCGACUAAUACUCGUAGGGCUUGACGUUACUCACAGAAGAAGCACCGGCUAACUCCGUGCCAGCAGCCGCGGUAAUACGGAGGGUGCAAGCGUUAAUCGGAAUUACUGGGCGUAAAGCGCGCGUAGGUGGUUUGAUAAGCGAGAUGUGAAAGCCCCGGGCUUAACCUGGGAACGGCAUUUCGAACUGUCAGGCUAGAGUAUGGUAGAGGGUAGUGGAAUUUCCUGUGUAGCGGUGAAAUGCGUAGAUAUAGGAAGGAACACCAGUGGCGAAGGCGGCUACCUGACCAANACUGACACUGAG
Molecule: ribosomal RNA, 744 nt
Filed under: uncultured bacterium
Lineage: Bacteria
Description: bacterial SSU rRNA
Rfam family: Bacterial small subunit ribosomal RNA
Source: RNAcentral